UGAGCAAUCUGCCCUUCUCUUCGGAAUAAGCGUGGGAAACCGCGUCUAAUGCCGAAUACGACCUCCUUUCGCAUGAUCGGAGGUGGAAAGCUCCGGCGGAGAAGGAUGAGCUCGCGGCCUAUCAGCUAGUUGGUGUGGGUAAUGGCCCACCAAGGCGACGACGGGUAGCCGGCCUGAGAGGGUGACCGGCCACACUGGGACUGAGACACGGCCCAUACUCCUACGGGAGGNAG
Molecule: ribosomal RNA, 233 nt
Filed under: uncultured bacterium
Lineage: Bacteria
Description: partial 16S ribosomal RNA
Rfam family: Bacterial small subunit ribosomal RNA
Source: RNAcentral